Molecule: ribosomal RNA, 486 nt
Filed under: uncultured bacterium
Lineage: Bacteria
Description: bacterial SSU rRNA
Rfam family: Bacterial small subunit ribosomal RNA
Source: RNAcentral
GACGAACGCUGGCGGCGUGCUUAAUACAUGCAAGUCGAGCGAGGCCUUGGAAUUGGAGUCCUUCGGGAUGAAGAGUCCUUGGCCUAGCGGCGGACGGGUGAGUAACGCGUGGGCAACCUACCCCAAAGUCCGGGAUAACAGUGGGAAACCGCUGCUAAUACCAGAUGACUUUACCUGAGGGCAUCCUCGGGUAAAGAAAGGUUACGCUUUGGGAUGGGCCCGCGUCCCAUUAGCUAGUUGGUGAGGUAACGGCUCACCAAGGCGACGAUGGGUAGCCGGCCUGAGAGGGUGAACGGCCACACUGGGACUGAGACACGGCCCAGACUCCUACGGGAGGCAGCAGUAGGGAAUAUUGCGCAAUGGGCGGAAGCCUGACGCAGCGACGCCGCGUGAGCGAAGAAGGCCUUCGGGUCGUAAAGCUCUGUCCUUGGGGAAGAAGGCGAAAGCUUGACGGUACCCAAGAAGAAAGCCCCGGCUAACUACGUG